AUACGAAGGGGGCUAGCGUUGCUCGGAAUUACUGGGCGUAAAGGGAGCGUAGGCGGACAUUUAAGUCAGGGGUGAAAUCCCAGAGCUCAACUCUGGAACUGCCUUUGAUACUGGGUGUCUUGAGUGUGAGAGAGGUAUGUGGAACUCCGAGUGUAGAGGUGAAAUUCGUAGAUAUUCGGAAGAACACCAGUGGCGAAGGCGACAUACUGGCUCAUUACUGACGCUGAGGCUCGAAAGCGUGGGGAGCAAACAGGAUUAGAUACCCUGGUAGUCCACGCCGUAAACGAUGAUUGCUAGUUGUCGGGGAGUUUACUUCUCGGUGACGCAGCUAACGCAUUAAGCAAUCCGCCUGGGGAGUACGGUCGCAAGAUUAAA
This 375-nucleotide ribosomal RNA is filed under the name uncultured bacterium. Its description in RNAcentral is "bacterial SSU rRNA". It matches the Rfam family "Bacterial small subunit ribosomal RNA", at positions 523 to 898 of the family's 1533-position model. The record is from RNAcentral.